AUAAGUUAAGUAAGGGCGUAUGGCGGAUGCCUAGGCUCUCAGAGACGACGAAGGACGUGAUAAGCUGCGAAAAGUUACGGGGAGAAGCACAUAUUUUAUGAUCCGUAAAUAUCCGAAUGGGGCAACCCGGCAUGCUGAAGGCAUGUCACCUAGCAAUAGGGGUAAACCCGGUGAACUGAAACAUCUAAGUAACCGGAGGAAGAGAAAACAAUAGUGAUUCCGUUAGUAGUGGCGAGCGAACGCGGAUUAGCCCAAACCAGUGUUGUUACGGCAAUACUGGGGUUGUAGGACCACGAUAUUCGAAGCUAAGUGAAUUAGAACUGUUUGGAAAGACAGACCAAAGAGGGUGAUAGUCCCGUAUAAGUAAGCGAAGUUUAGAUAGUGGUAUCCUGAGUAGUGCGGGACACGAGUAAUCCUGUAUGAAUCCACCGGGACCAUCCGGUAAGGCUAAAUACUCCUGAGAGACCGAUAGUGAACUAGUACCGUGAGGGAAAGGUGAAAAGAACCCUAAGUAAGGGAGUGAAAGAGAUCCUGAAACCGUACGCCUACAAGCGGUCGGAGCACAUUUACUGUGUGACGGCGUGCCUUUUGCAUAAUGAGCCUACGAGUUACUGUUUCUAGCAAGGUUAAAUGUUUAAGACAUGGAGCCGUAGCGAAAGCGAGUCUGAAUAGGGCGUAUAGUUAGUAGUAGUAGACGCGAAACCGAGUGAUCUACCCAUGGGCAGGUUGAAGCUGUGGUAACACACAGUGGAGGACCGAACCAGUUGACGUUGAAAAGUCUUUGGAUGACCUGUGGGUAGGGGUGAAAGGCCAAUCAAACUCGGAAAUAGCUCGUACUCCCCGAAAUGCAUUUAGGUGCAGCGUUGAGCGAAAGUUUUAUAGAGGUAGAGCUACUGAUUGGAUGCGGGGGCUUCACCGCCUACCAAUUCCUGACAAACUCCGAAUGCUAUAAAAUGUUACUCAGCAGUGAGGGCAUGGGUGCUAAGGUCCAUGUCCGAGAGGGAAAGAACCCAGACCAUCAGCUAAGGUCCCCAAAUAUAUGUUAAGUUGAAUAAACGAGGUGAAACUGCUUAGACAGCUAGGAUGUUGGCUUGGAAGCAGCCAUUCAUUUAAAGAGUGCGUAACAGCUCACUAGUCGAGCGGUUUUGCAUGGAUAAUAAUCGGGCAUAAACAUAUUACCGAAGCUAUGGAUUUGUAUUAUAUACAAGUGGUAGGGGAGCAUUGUAAUCUGCGUAGAAGGUGUGCUGUCAGGCAUGCUGGAGUGAUUACAAAAGAAAAUGUAGGCAUAAGUAACGAUAAAGGGGGCGAGAAACCCCCUCACCGAAAGACUAAGGUUUCCUCAGCGAUGCUAAUCAGCUGAGGGUUAGUCGGGUCCUAAGGCGAAUCCGAAGGGAGUAGUCGAUGGAUAACAGGUUAAUAUUCCUGUACUUCUUAUAAUUGCGAUGGGGUGACGGAGUAUUGAAAGCACCGCGAACUGACGGAAUAGUUCGUUAAAGUAUGUAGCUAUAGAACCAGAUUAAGAGUUAGGUUUUGGCAAAGUACGAUAGUACCACAAAGCUUCGGCAGCGUGGAUAGUGUGCCUAAAAGCUUCCAAGAAAAACCUCUAAGCUUCAGAUUAUAAGAACCCGUACCGUAAACCGACACAGGUAGUUGGGAUGAGAAUUCUAAGGUGCUCGAGAGAUUCAUGGCUAAGGAACUAGGCAAAAUAGACCCGUAACUUCGGGAGAAGGGUCGCCACGCUUUACGGCGUGGCCGCAGUGAAAAGGUCCAGGCGACUGUUUAUCAAAAACACAGGGCUUUGCUAAAUUGAAAGAUGAUGUAUAAGGCCUGACACCUGCCCGGUGCUGGAAGGUUAAGUGGAGGGCUUAGACGCUUGCGUCGAAGGUCUGAAAUGAAGCCCCAGUAAACGGCGGCCGUAACUAUAACGGUCCUAAGGUAGCGAAAUUCCUUGUCGGGU
This 1957-nucleotide ribosomal RNA is filed under the name seawater metagenome. Its description in RNAcentral is "bacterial LSU rRNA". It matches the Rfam family "Bacterial large subunit ribosomal RNA", at positions 1 to 1977 of the family's 2925-position model. The record is from RNAcentral.